Molecule: RNA transcript, 2203 nt
Organism: Manihot esculenta (cassava)
Lineage: Eukaryota; Viridiplantae; Streptophyta; Magnoliopsida; Malpighiales; Euphorbiaceae
Gene name: protein WHAT'S THIS FACTOR 9, mitochondrial
Exons: 4
Source: RefSeq, a predicted model, not a curated record
CAAAUGACCCAGCAUCGACAUCCACUACUUGUCUCCACUUACAGCUUAUUGGUACAAAGGGUCCGCCACAUAGUAGCCAGUGGUUUCAAUUUCCAUGUUCCUUCCAAAACCCAAGUCUAGUGUCUUGAAACAAUUGUUCUUUGUCACUUUUCAAAAUCCAAUCCUUUCCCGUACUAAUCACCUCUACCAAAAGCUACCUCAACAGUACACACAAACCUGCAAUUAUGUGGAUGUGUACAUGAAAUGGAAGAAGGAUUCAUACUUUGAGUCGAUAGAGCACAUACACAAGUCCAAGGAGCUCAAACCCAUCCUUUCUUUGAAAGAUUUCAUAGCCCAAAACCCAAAUGGUUGUAUCCCAAUCUCUGAUGUAUCAAAAAGAGGACUGCAAUUUGAUGUGAAGAUCAAGGUUGCUAGGUUUUUGAGACAAUAUCCCUCAAUCUUUGAGGAGUUUGUUGGUCCAAAAUAUAAUUUGCCUUGGUUUAGAUUGACGGAAGAAGCUGCUGCAAUUAAUAGAGAAGAGAACAAGGUGCUUGAGGAGUAUAAAGAGGAUUUGAAAGAGAGAUUGAAGAAGUUUAUAUUAAUGAGUAAGGAGAAGGUAUUGCCUUUCAAGAUUAUUAAAGGCAUGUUAUGGUAUUUGGGUUUACCGGAAGAUUUUUUGCAGCAUCAAGAUAAGAAUUUUGACAGUUCUUUUAGAGUUGUGGAGUUGGAGGUUGGAUCAAAGGGAUUGGGUGUUGAAAGUACCAAAAAGAUUUUGUCAGUAUUGCAGAAAAAUGCAAUGAGGAAAGGGUUAUAUUAUGGAGAGCCAAUGGAGGCAAUUGAAUUUCCCCUUUUCCCAUCAAAGGGUUUGAGGUUGAGGAGAAAGAUUCAGGAUUGGUUGAAAGAGUUCCAAAAACUUCCUUAUGUAUCACCCUAUGAAGAUAAUUCACAUUUAGAUCCUAACAGUGAUAUUGGAGAGAAAAGAGUUGUGGGUUUGCUUCACGAAUUGCUUUCUUUGUUUGUUGAGCAUUCAGUAGAAAGGAAGAAGCUUUUGUGCCUUAAGAAGUAUUUUGAGUUGCCCCAGAAGGUGCAUAAGGCAUUUGAAAGGCAUCCCCACAUGUUUUACUUGUCUUUCAGGAACAAGACUUGCACAACAAUUCUUAAGGAGGCAUAUGGUGAUGAUGAACUGGCUAUGGAGAGGCAUCCAAUGGCGAUGAUCAGGAAGAAGUACAUUAAGUUGAUGAAGGAAUCAGAGGUGAUUUUGAAGAGGAGAAGAGCAAACAAUCCAUUUCUUGAAUAUAAGAAGUUGGAUUUUGAAAUGGAUUCUGUCAAUGAAAAAAGAAGAGAAGAGGAGAAACAGUAGGGUUUCAGGCAGACUGGUAGAGACUAAUUAGAGUCCGACAAAUUGGAACUAAGGAGGGAGAGGAUGAUAAAAGUGCAUGAGCUUUUUCAUGAGACAGGCUCCAGAGUUUGUCAUAGUUAUGAUUCCCAGGGUUGGCAGGAAACCUUUUUUUUUCUUAUUUCAUUAAUGAAAGUACUCGUGCAAACUGCUUUGCUUGCAAAAAUGGGGUAGGAUAUCCAGGCUAGAUGCACUUUUACAACUGCAAUAUCCACAUUUGCAAUGAAGAGAAGGGUAUGGAUCAGGUGCGCGCCCUUUAAAUGGUACAAAAUGAUUCUGAACUCACCAGCUUGACAUCGAUACAGGCACCCCUAGUCAAUGUAGAGAUCAGAGGAGUGCCAGCACUUAAAUUUUUGGGAGACAUCAUAUGGAAAUGAGCUCUGAAGAGCAAUAUCAGAAAUGCAGAGAGCCUCCAUCUUUGUGGUAGGCUUGCAUACACUUGGAGGAGCAGCUAAGUUACCAAACAAAAUAGGAAUAGUCAUUCAUUGGCAAACAAGAUAGUUCCAUUACAGCUUUUAACAAAAUUUACAUAAGAAGAAACCAUUUCGUUGAGUGGCAAUUACAGGAUACAGAAGAUGAAGCCCCUAAUAAUCAAGAAGCCAUAUAGGGAAGGUAACGGUUGCAUGUUAAGUUUUUCCAUAUUAACAUGGUUCUUGUUUGCAUAUACAUGAAGUUUGUAUUUGUUCUUUUCAAGUCAGUUAGAUUUCUCAUGUAAUAGUUCCAUUUUUUAAAGUUUGUACUACAAAUUAAUAUAGUAUCAUAUAAGGAGCGGUUAGCCAUUGCACAGUUAAAUGAACAGUUCAAUUGAAUUGAUUUUGGCUGAGAGAA